RNAcentral lists this long non-coding RNA (496 nucleotides) under Ictidomys tridecemlineatus (thirteen-lined ground squirrel). Its description in RNAcentral is "lncRNA (ENSSTOG00000030681.1)". Lineage: Eukaryota; Metazoa; Chordata; Mammalia; Rodentia; Sciuridae. The record is from RNAcentral.
AUCUGCCAUUCUCAGAGCCACCUCCCCAAGGGACGACAGUGUGCGACGUGAACACGGCUGAUCAGACCCCUUCCUGGGACCGGGAAGUGGAGACCAGGAGAGCUGCUGUGGCGGAGCCUGUGGUGCCGAUCGGAGAAGGGACCCUCCAGACCAUCCGAGCCUCGAUCCAAAGGAGCCUGAAGCUUCAGCCUGGGCCUCCGGAAGUCCUGCCUGCGGCAGCCCCGAGACUCCCGAGAGCACCUUCUGCCCACUGGAGCAGGCCCUGGGAGGGCUGCACCCCACGCUGUGGGGUGGGGGUUGCCAAGACCCUUGUACCUCUGAUGCCCUGACGCCGUGGCUCUGUGGUCACCAUGUGCAGAGAGAACUGCCCACCUGAGCCCGACUUCAAUUCCUGACCCACAGAUUCACGACCUAUAACAAAUGAUUGUUUAUUUACUGUCAGCCUCUAAGGUUUGGGGUAACUUGUUACGCAGAAAUAAAUAUCUGGAACCCUUAA